UCGGGAAUUUUGGGCAAUGGGCGAAAGCCUGACCCAGCAACGCCGCGUGAAGGAUGAAGUAUUUCGGUAUGUAAACUUCGAAAGAAUAGGAAGAAUAAAUGACGGUACUAUUUAUAAGCUCCGGCUAACUACGUGCCAGCAGCCGCGGUAAUACGUAGGGAGCAAGCGUUGUUCGGAUUUACUGGGCGUAAAGGGCGCGUAGGCGGCGCGGUAAGUCACUUGUGAAAUCUCUGAGCUUAACUCAGAACGGCCAAGUGAUACUGCAGUGCUAGAGUGCAGAAGGGGCAAUCGGAAUUCUUGGUGUAGCGGUGAAAUGCGUAGAUAUCAAGAGGAACACCUGAGGUGAAGACGGGUUGCUGGGCUGACACUGACGCUGAGGCGCGAAAGCUAGGGUAGCAAACGGGAUUAGAUACCCACGUAGUCCCUGAGCGGGCUGGCAAGGCGCAU
This 447-nucleotide ribosomal RNA is filed under the name uncultured bacterium. Its description in RNAcentral is "bacterial SSU rRNA". It matches the Rfam family "Bacterial small subunit ribosomal RNA", at positions 355 to 825 of the family's 1533-position model. The record is from RNAcentral.